GUAUAAGCAAUUAUACAGCGAAACUGCGAAUGGCUCAUUAAAUCAGUUAUCGUUUAUUUGAUAGUACCUUACUACAUGGAUAACCGUGGUAAUUCUAGAGCUAAUACAUGCUGAAAACCCCGACUUCGGAAGGGGUGUAUUUAUUAGAUUAAAAACCAAUGCCCUCACGGGCUCUCUGGUGAUUCAUAAUAACUUCUCGAAUCGCACGGCCUUGCGCCGGCGAUGGUUCAUUCAAAUUUCUGCCCUAUCAACUUUCGACGGCUGGGUCUUGGCCAGCCGUGGUGACAACGGGUAACGGAGGGUUAGGGCUCGACCCCGGAGAAGGAGCCUGAGAAACGGCUACUACAUCCAAGGAAGGCAGCAGGCGCGCAAAUUACCCAAUCCCGACACGGGGAGGUAGUGACAAUAAAUACUGAUACAGGGCUCUUUCGGGUCUUGUAAUUGGAAUGAGUACAAUUUAAAUCCCUUAACGAGGAACAAUUGGAGGGCAAGUCUGGCC
Molecule: ribosomal RNA, 499 nt
Filed under: Acremonium sp. SS_NXF1
Lineage: Eukaryota; Fungi; Ascomycota; Sordariomycetes; Hypocreales; Bionectriaceae
Description: SSU rRNA
Rfam family: Eukaryotic small subunit ribosomal RNA
Source: RNAcentral